AGUGCAACAGCUGUACUGAAGGGACAUUUGUAGCCUUGUAUUUAACAGGACUUUAUCCUCCUGGAGAAGCACCUUUGGUGUAAAGCUGAAAAUUGUCUUUAAAUUCCAUCUUUUAGUUUUCCGUGUAAGUAAAAUUUUUGACAU
This 144-nucleotide non-coding RNA is filed under the name Sarcophilus harrisii (Tasmanian devil). RNAcentral describes it as "ODC internal ribosome entry site (IRES)". It matches the Rfam family "ODC internal ribosome entry site (IRES)". Lineage: Eukaryota; Metazoa; Chordata; Mammalia; Dasyuromorphia; Dasyuridae. The record is from Rfam by way of RNAcentral.